CUGAGGUUUAGAAUCUAAUUCUGAUUUUUUUUUUCUUCUGAGUGCUAGCUUUGUUUCUCAUAAGCAAGCUAUAUAAUAUCAUGUUAACUUCUCCAGGGUAGAUCUCAUGUGCUCUUACCACAUAAAUAAUAAGAAGAAGAAAGAUUGAGAAAAAACUUCAACAGUCAUAGGAGAAGAAACAGAAAAAGCAAUAGAGUCAAGAGAUGUGAACUACAAGAGCUAAUCUAUAAGUUCAGAGAGGGAUGAACUUAAGGAAAGAUGUUAGCCACACAUCUGAGGCUUCCUAGAGAUGCUUUGAUCAAGCAAACUGCAUGUACAGAAAUAGCGGAUGAAGAGAAACAAAGAAUGAAGCUCAUCUAAAAGAAGCUAAAGCCAACUUGAAAGAGCUCCCAGUGGCAAAAGCUAGAACAAUUUCAGCAACACAUUAUUUUAAUGUAUUGGCUCUCCAUCCCAAAUUAUAAAUAUAUGUUAGUUGACAUUGAUAUUA
This is a long non-coding RNA of Canis lupus familiaris (dog), 487 nucleotides long. RefSeq lists it as uncharacterized. NCBI's taxonomy places the organism in Eukaryota, Metazoa, Chordata, Mammalia, Carnivora, Canidae. The record is from RefSeq and is a predicted model, not a curated record. The transcript is spliced from 4 exons.